UGGGGAAUUUUGGACAAUGGGGGCAACCCUGAUCCAGCAAUGCCGCGUGUGUGAAGAAGGCCUUCGGGUUGUAAAGCACUUUUGUCCGGAAAGAAAUCGCCCUGGCUAAUAUCCGGGGUGGAUGACGGUACUGGAAGAAUAAGCACCGGCUAACUACGUGCCAGCAGCCGCGGUAAUACGUAGGGUGCGAGCGUUAAUCGGAAUUACUGGGCGUAAAGCGUGCGCAGGCGGUUGUGCAAGACAGAUGUGAAAUCCCCCGGGGCUUAACCUGGGAAUGGCAUUUGUGACUGCACGACUAGAGUGUGUCAGAGGGGGGUAGAAUUCCACGUGUAGCAGUGAAAUGCGUAGAUAUGUGGAGGAACACCGAUGGCGAAGGCAGCCCCCUGGGAUAACACUGACGCUCAUGCACGAAAGCGUGGGGAGCAAACAGGAUUAGAUAGCCCUGGUAGUCCACGCCCUAAAACCGAUGUCAACUAGUUGUCGGGUCUUAAUUGACUUGGUAACGCAGCUAACGCGUGAAGUUGACCGCCUGGGGAGUACGGUCGCAAGAUU
This 552-nucleotide ribosomal RNA is filed under the name uncultured bacterium. RNAcentral's name for it is "partial 16S ribosomal RNA". It matches the Rfam family "Bacterial small subunit ribosomal RNA", at positions 355 to 895 of the family's 1533-position model. The record is from RNAcentral.